This 109-nucleotide small nucleolar RNA is filed under the name Cercocebus atys (sooty mangabey). Lineage: Eukaryota; Metazoa; Chordata; Mammalia; Primates; Cercopithecidae. The record is from RNAcentral.
AGCCACCCCUUUUCUCUUCAACCAAGGUUGGAGGCCAAGAUCAGCCCUCAGGGAUCAUCAUCAGGACUGCCAUGAGCUGAGCCGCCUUGUUUUCCUGCCGCAAACAUGU